RNAcentral lists this ribosomal RNA (497 nucleotides) under uncultured bacterium. RNAcentral describes it as "partial 16S ribosomal RNA". It matches the Rfam family "Bacterial small subunit ribosomal RNA", at positions 28 to 507 of the family's 1533-position model. The record is from RNAcentral.
GAUGAACGCUGGCGGCGUGCCUAAUACAUGCAAGUCGAGCGAACAGAUGAGGAGCUUGCUCCUCUGACGUUAGCGGCGGACGGGUGAGUAACACGUGGAUAACCUACCUAUAAGACUGGGAUAACUUCGGGAAACCGGAGCUAAUACCGGAUAAUAUAUUGAACCGCACGGUUCAAUAGUGAAAGACGGUUUUGCUGUCACUUAUAGAUGGAUCCGCGCCGCAUUAGCUAGUUGGUAAGGUAACGGCUUACCAAGGCAACGAUGCGUAGCCGACCUGAGAGGGUGAUCGGCCACACUGGAACUGAGACACGGUCCAGACUCCUACGGGAGGCAGCAGUAGGGAAUCUUCCGCAAUGGGCGAAAGCCUGACGGAGCAACGCCGCGUGAGUGAUGAAGGUCUUCGGAUCGUAAAACUCUGUUAUUAGGGAAGAACAAAUGUGUAAGUAACUAUGCACGUCUUGACGGUACCUAAUCAGAAAGCCACGGCUAACUACGUG